This 444-nucleotide long non-coding RNA is filed under the name Mytilus galloprovincialis (Mediterranean mussel). Lineage: Eukaryota; Metazoa; Mollusca; Bivalvia; Mytilida; Mytilidae. The record is from RNAcentral.
UUCGUGCUUUUUAUUCCUAACUAAGAAUGAUCUUAAUCAGAGCUAGUUUUUUGUUUUAAAAUGAAUUCUCCGCUUUUGAGAAAUAUUUAUUUUGUUAUCCAAUUUUUCACGGCUUACAAUUGUUUGCCUUUGGUUUUAUUUUAUACAUUUACUUUAAAGUAACGGUAACUGUUCAUUUCAUUAUCAUUUCUUUUCGUUUUCUUUCGUUUCGUUCCGCUUUUAUUCCGUUUCGCACUUUAAGGUACCCCUCUUUUCGCCAGUUUUCUGUUUUUGAUAUCUUAAUCAAAAAUUAAAAAGUCAAACUUUAAAGCGAAAUAAUCAAAACUGCACGUUAAGUUUAGUACUUUUAAGUUUGAUCAAAUAUCUAAACUAUUAAAUUUAAAAAUGAUAUUUAGAAUUUAAUAAUUUUAAUCAUUUAGUGAAAAUUUCAAAAACAUUUAAAAA